Molecule: non-coding RNA, 85 nt
Organism: Dipodomys ordii (Ord's kangaroo rat)
Lineage: Eukaryota; Metazoa; Chordata; Mammalia; Rodentia; Heteromyidae
Source: Rfam
AAGACUAUACUUUCAGGGAUCAUUUCUAUAGUUUGUUACUAGAGAAAUCUCACUGAUGGUGUAGAGUACUGGAUCACAAACAAGA